AGAGUUUGAUCCUGGCUCAGAAUGAACGCUGGCGGCGUGGAUAAGACAUGCAAGUCGAACGGAAAGUGCUAAUAGCUUGCUAAUAGCAUUUUUAGUGGCGGACGGGGUAGUACAUGCCUCAAAGCGGGGGAUAGCCUUUCGAAAGGAAGAUUAAUACCGCAUGUGGCCUCCUGUUUUUCAGGGUGGUCAAAGAUGCCUUCGGGUGUCGCUUUGAGAUUGGCUCGCGGCCUAUCAGCUAGUUGGUGAGGUAACGGCUCACCAAGGCAACGACGGGUAGCUGGUCUGAGAGGACGAUCAGCAACACUGGAACUGAGACACGGUCCAGACACCUACGGGUGGCAGCAGUCGAGAAUCAUUCACAAUGGGGGAAACCCUGAUGGUGCAACGCCGCGUGGAGGAUGAAGGCCCUAGGGUCGUAAACUCCUGUCAUAUGAGAGUAAGGCUUAUCGGUUAAUAACCGCUAAGAUUGAUAGUAUCUGAAGAGGAAGGGACGGCUAACUUCGUGCCAGCAGCCGCGGUAAUACGAAGGUCCCAAGCGUUGUUCGGAAUUACUGGGCGUAAAGCGUGUGUAGGCUGCGCGAAAAGUCAAAUGUGAAAGCCAGAGGCUCAACCUCUGAACUGCAUUCGAUACUCCCGUGCUAGAGUAAUGGAGAGGUAAGUGGAAUUCCCGGUGUAGCAGUGAAAUGCGUAGAUAUCGGGAGGAACAUCAAUGGCGAAGGCAACUUACUGGACAUUUACUGACGCUCAGACACGAAGGCUAGGGGAGCGAAAGGGAUUAGAUACCCCUGUAGUCCUAGCAGUAAACGGUGCUCGCUUGGUGUGGGAGAGUUCGACCCCUUCUGUGCCGGAGCUAACGCGUUAAGCGAGCCGCCUGGGAAGUACGGUCGCAAGACUAAAACUCAAAGAAAUUGACGGGGACCCGCACAAGCGGUGGAGUAUGUGGCUUAAUUCGAUGCAACGCGAAGAACCUUACCUAGGCUUGACAUGCUUGUCGUACCUUCCCGAAAAGGAAGGGUCACUUCGGGUGGACAAUGCACAGGUGCUGCAUGGCCGUCGUCAGCUCGUGUCGUGAGAUGUUUGGUUAAGUCCAGCAACGAGCGCAACCCCUGUGAACUGUUGCCAGCGGAUAAUGCCGGGGACUCUGUUCAGACUGCCCAGAUCAACUGGGAGGAAGGUGGGGACGACGUCAGGUCAGUAUGGCCCUUACGCCUAGGGCUGCACACGUACUACAAUGCCCAGCACAAUGAGAACCAAUACCGCGAGGUGGAGGCAAUCUGUAAAACUGGGCCCAGUUCGGAUUGGAGGCUGCAACUCGCCUCCAUGAAGUUGGAAUCGCUAGUAAUGCCGUAUCAGCUACGACGGCGUGAAUACGUUCCCGGGUCUUGUACACACCGCCCGUCACAUCAUGGAAGUCGGUCGCACCCGAAGUAUAUGCGCUAACUCCUCGGAGAAGCAGUAUCCUAAGGUGAGGCUGGUAACUGGGAUGAAGUCGUAACAAGGUAACC
RNAcentral lists this ribosomal RNA (1505 nucleotides) under uncultured prokaryote. RNAcentral's name for it is "partial 16S ribosomal RNA". It matches the Rfam family "Bacterial small subunit ribosomal RNA". The record is from RNAcentral.